UACGUAGGGUGCAAGCGUUGCUCGGAAUCAUUGGGCGUAAAGAGCGUGUAGGUGGCUAGAUAAGUCGGAUGUGAAAUCCCUCGGCUCAACCGAGGAAGUGCAUUCGAAACUAUUUAGCUUGAGGAUGGCAGAGGAAGGUGGAAUUCCUAGUGUAGAGGUGAAAUUCGUAGAUAUUAGGAGGAAUACCUGUGGCGAAGGCGGCCUUCUGGACCAUUCCUGACACUGAGACGCGAAAGCGUGGGUAGCAAACAGG
RNAcentral lists this ribosomal RNA (253 nucleotides) under uncultured bacterium. RNAcentral describes it as "partial 16S ribosomal RNA". It matches the Rfam family "Bacterial small subunit ribosomal RNA", at positions 524 to 776 of the family's 1533-position model. The record is from RNAcentral.